This is a non-coding RNA of Myodes glareolus (Bank vole), 718 nucleotides long. Lineage: Eukaryota; Metazoa; Chordata; Mammalia; Rodentia; Cricetidae. The record is from RefSeq and is a predicted model, not a curated record.
AGGGGCCGAUAAUCCAGCCUGGUGUUGAUGCUUCUCUGCUCAGGACCUCAGGAGGCUGAGAUCAAGGUGUUGAUUGCUAUGCCAUCAUCUGGAGCUUGGCCAGAGAAAGGGUGCGUCCUGAGAGAAACUCUUGCGACAGCUCCAGAGGUCAAAGGGGCGGCGAAAGGUCUUCACCCAAACCUCAAUCAAGAGAUUUACUGGGAGGGAAGACUCCAGGAAAGUGGCUGCAUCUACCAGGGUGCAAGAAGAACAGCCACAAACUGAACAGGUGAAGACCAGAAUUUAUACUUAAGAUUUCCCACUGUGAUGGUCCCUGGAAAGUUCAUUCACUGGGAGCUUGGUUCCCAGUGCGGCAGUGCCGAGGGUCAGAACUUCCCUGGUGAAUGAAUGCAUCCAUCUGUGGACUAUGCAUGCAUCUAUGGCUGAAUGAAUGACUCUAUGGACAGAUGGGCUAUGGUGAAAGUGGCGAACUUGCUCUCUUUUAUCAUGCAAGAUACAGCCCCUCACCAGGAACUAUGAGCUGAAUACCCCUCUUGUCUUUAUGUAUUAUCCACCCUUAAGUAUUUUGUUACAGCAGCAGAAAAUGGGCCAAGACAACCAAUGAGUAUGAGUCCUCUGUGACUGCUCAAAUACACACCUCAGUAUUCUCAACAUGAAACAUAUGGAUUUCACACCAUGCCUUGCUCACUUCUGCCAAUGAACUCCUUCCUGUGUAAUA